UGAAUACGAGACGCUAAGGCGUCGAAGUAGUGUAUGUCAUACUUCCAAGAAAAGCUUGCACUGUCAUAGAUAAAAAACGCCUGUACCAUAACCGACACAGGUGGGUAGGUAGAGUAUACUAAGGGGCGCGAGAUAACUCUCUCUAAGGAACUCGGCAAAAUAACUCCGUAACUUCGGGAGAAGGAGUGCCUUAUUUAUAAGGCUGCAAUAACAAGAUCCAAGCAACUGUUUAUCAAAAACACAGGUCUCCGCUAAGUCGUAAGACGAUGUAUGGGGGCUGACGCCUGCCCAGUGCCAGAAGGUUAAAGAAGUUGGUUAGCUUUUGCGAAGCUGAUAACUGAAGCCCUGGUGAACGGCGGCCGUAACGAUAACGGUCCUAAGGUAGCGAAAUUCCUUGUCGGGUAAGUUCCGACCCGCACGAAAGGCGUAAUGAUUUGGAUACUGUCUCGGAGAGGGGCUCGGUGAAAUAGACUUGUCUGUGAAGAUGCGGACUACCUGCACCAGGACAGAAAGACCCUAUGAAGCUUUACUGUAACUUGAAAUUGAAAUUGGACUUUAUUCGCGCAGCAUAGGUGGGAGGCGUUGAUUAUAAUCUCGUGGGAUUAUUGGAGCCAUCAGUGAGAUACCACUCUUGUAAUGUUAGAUUUCUAACUUUGAAUCAUUAUCUGGUCAAAGAACAGUUUCAGGCGGGCAGUUUGACUGGGGCGGUCGCCUCCUAAACGGUAACGGAGGCGUACAAAGGUUUCCUCUGAACGGUUAGAAAUCGUAUCUAGAGUGUAAAGGCAUAAGGAAGUUUGACUGUGAGACCUACAAGUCGAGCAGGGACGAAAGUCGGUCUUAGUGAUCUGACGGUACUGAGUGGAAAGGCCGUCACUCAACGGAUAAAAGUUACUCUAGGAUAACAGGCUGAUCUCCCCCAAGAGUUCACAUCGACGGGGAGGUUUGGCACCUCGAUGUCGGCUCAUCGCAUCCUGGGGCGGUAGUACGUCCCAAGGGUUGGGCUGUUCGCCCAUGAAAGCGGUACGCGAGCUGGGUUCAGAACGUCGUGAGACAGUUCGGUCCAUAUCCGGUGUAGGCGUUAGAAUAUUGAGAGGAGCCUUCUUUAGUACGAGAGGACCGAGAAGGACAUACCUCUGGUGUACCAGUUAUCGUGCCAACGGUAAACGCUGGGUAGCUAUGUAUGGAGUGGAUAACCGCUGAAAGCAUCUAAGUGGGAAGCCCACCUCAAGAUAAGUAUUCUCAUC
This 1244-nucleotide ribosomal RNA is filed under the name metagenome. Its description in RNAcentral is "bacterial LSU rRNA". It matches the Rfam family "Bacterial large subunit ribosomal RNA", at positions 1564 to 2818 of the family's 2925-position model. The record is from RNAcentral.